Molecule: long non-coding RNA, 927 nt
Organism: Canis lupus familiaris (dog)
Lineage: Eukaryota; Metazoa; Chordata; Mammalia; Carnivora; Canidae
Exons: 3
Source: RefSeq, a predicted model, not a curated record
GGAUCGGGGCCGUCGGCCUCCUGCCUGCGAGGCGGCGUUGCGUCAGGUCCCCACUUCGCCGACCCCAGUUUGAGCCCACGUAUGUGUCGCAGUGACCCCCUUAAUGCAAACUUUAUCUAAACAUUAUCUAAAAAAACGUUUAUGACUCAAAUUUAGGGUUGAGACCCUAACGCAAACUUGCCUUAGGUCGAGCAUCCACUUGCUGCUCGGUAAGGUCGCUAACACGCUUUUCGGGGGUUCUGUCUGGAGUCCCAUGCCAGGAAUGCAGGGAAACAGUAAAACUCCACUACAGUCACAGGCUCUUACAAUGACUAAACUUUUUGAAAGCAUGGAUCUGGAGGUUGAGGAAAAGAUAGGCUUAGGAGAGAAGCAGGAGGCGGGUAGUGACACCGCGAGGCAAGUCUUACUACAGAUCCCAUCAUGCAAUGGGGUAAAGACGUUGAGGCUCCUAAGGCCCUGAAACGCCAGUUCUGCGGCGUCGGCGCCCGCGAUGUACUCUGGGAUUUGUAGUCCGCUGUUCCGCCUGGAGCGCCGGAACUUACUUGCGAUACUAGUCCCACCUCUUAAAGGCCAAACACCCGACUUUGUUUCCUAAGAAGACACUCUAAUCUAUCAGGCAAUUUAUUAUUUUUCCACAUUUUACCUUAUUUUCAGUACGGAAGUUUGUAUGCUCUGUGAAAACCUACAGGCUCUUACAGGCUCUUAUCUUCAUUUGGCAAACAUUGAGUUUCUACGAUUUCUACCAGGCGUCAGACCAGUACCUGCUGUAUCCACUACACCUCAGGUGCAUCCCCGGUUACGUUUGCUGAAGCCGGGGGAGAAGAUUUUUCACCAUGAGCAUCAGCCUGUAAUGAAACGUCCUCAGAACCCGUGUGCACGGCCUCCAGCUCUACGUCCUGAUGCCGGAUGCAGCCGACCUGCAGAAAA